This is a long non-coding RNA of Pezoporus occidentalis (night parrot), 366 nucleotides long. RefSeq lists it as uncharacterized. Lineage: Eukaryota; Metazoa; Chordata; Aves; Psittaciformes; Psittacidae. The transcript is spliced from 3 exons. The record is from RefSeq and is a predicted model, not a curated record.
CUGGAGCCUGCCUGCUACCAGAGCUGAUAUGAUCAGUUACUGAGUGAGAAGUAGAUCAGCUCCACAACCACUUUCUGAAUGUGGAAACACCUGAAUGAUGGGCUGAAUACUGCCAUCCACUGGCUGGCUGCAUGGAAAAUCUGUUCAACUUGCAUUUCAUUAAGGCAAUAUUAAAAAGUACCUUAAAAAAUAACAGGCAAACUCACCCCAACCACCAUCUCUUCCAUGGUUUAGUUUGUGCCGCAGAAGGCCGACAUUAUCUGCUGAUUCAUUUUAUCAGCCAGAACAUGUACACAAAAACUCAGCCAAAAAUGAGAAAUGGAAAUGGGAAGACUGGGUGGAAAAAAAACUGUGCUCAGGAAGAAU